Molecule: long non-coding RNA, 233 nt
Organism: Drosophila arizonae
Lineage: Eukaryota; Metazoa; Arthropoda; Insecta; Diptera; Drosophilidae
Source: RefSeq, a predicted model, not a curated record
CAACUUCAAUGCCGUCUGACAUGUUGCUGGCUGGCUGAAUGGGAUGCUGCGGCUACUGUUGGUUCUUCGGUUCUGCUCGGCGUUGGUGCUGCGGCUGUUGCUGCAACUCUCGAGUGACAGUUCAGGGAAUUUUUUACCGGCUUGGGUGCUUGGUGCAAAUUUUGUGAACACAACACGCAAACGCUUAACGACAAGUGUCACGAUAAACAACAACAAAAUUAAUAAAAAAAAAA